Molecule: ribosomal RNA, 326 nt
Filed under: uncultured Actinomycetes bacterium
Lineage: Bacteria; Bacillati; Actinomycetota; Actinomycetes
Description: bacterial SSU rRNA
Rfam family: Bacterial small subunit ribosomal RNA
Source: RNAcentral
GACGAACGCUGGCGGCGUGCCUAACACAUGCAAGUCGAACGAGGCCGGACCUUCGGGUCCAAUGGUCGAGUGGCGAACGGGUGAGUAACACGUGAGAAACCUACCCCGGAGACCGGGACAACCAGGGGAAACCCUGGCUAAUACCGGAUGUCCUCAGAUGGUCGCAUGACCGACUGAGGAAAUGCUCUGGCGCUCUGGGAGGGUCUCGCGGCCUAUCAGCUAGUUGGUGGGGUAACGGCCUACCAAGGCAUCGACGGGUAGCUGGUCUGAGAGGACGAUCAGCCACACUGGGACUGAGACACGGCCCAGACUCCUACGGGAGGCUG